UUGCCUGUUCUUGACUCUUGUGAUGAUGUAUGUGGUUAAGAAUGCUGCACCCUGCAAAGCACAGAACAUCUGCCUGGUACAAGUUAACACACACCAUUUAGGGUCUGUUUCAUUCCUGAGGUUCUACUCAAACAAGUCUUGUCAUGACAAAUAUGGAAAUGGCCAGGAACAAAACCUUGAGUGAGGAAGAACCUUUCCUUAUGAAGUAGACUGCUCUGCUUGAGCAAUGAUCAAGUUAUUGCUAUACUUCCGACAGACAAGGCAGAUGUUACAUUUACCUGAGGAGAACAGUGGAUAAGGGUUUUUGUCUUACCCUGUCGCGUGCCGGCUGAGGACAAAGGGUCUGCCACAGUGACUGGUCUGCAAACGUUGCGGUGUAUAUGAUCAAGCUGCUGAAUGCCUCUGUAACGUGACAGAGCAGCCAAACGUUGGGGCCAGGAAAGGGGUGGGACGGCAGAACAGUAGACAGCACAAAUGAGAGAGGUAGAAAGAAAAGGAACGUCCCUCUCCUGUUGUCCAAACUCAAGAGGAGCCUCUCCGAGUCGCGACGUGUGAUCUUCCCAAAAUACCACCUAGGGAAGAGAGGGAAGAGAGCACGGGGACACAGGGACCAGAUUGAGAGGAAGGGAGAAAGAAAAAAAAGUGUGGCUGUGUGUGUGUGUGUGUGUGUGUGUGUGUGUGAGUGAGAGAGAGCGCGGGCGAUAUAACUGCCUUCUGUGCAUGCCCCAAUCAAAGAAGUAUUGCAUUCUGAUUACUGCCCCUUACCUGGAAGCCAUAGGCAAUCUGAGAUGACUGGUAGGAUAAAGGUAAGAAAUGGAAUCAUUACACAGGUUAGUUUGUGUGUGUUAUUAUCCACGUGUGUGUCUGUGCAUGUCAGCUUGUGGAGUGUGUGUAUGCCUUCAAGGUGCAUAGAGAGAUACUGUAGAUGGAGCUCCUUUUGAAUUCCAUCAGUUUUAUUUUCAACUCUUGAUUAAAAUGAAAUUACAGGAGAGAGAAGAAAAGGUGGGACGGAUAAAUAGAGGAUGAGGGAGAGAGCGAAAGAAAGGAGGGAGGGAUUUACUCUUCUGCCUGGAUGGAGUCGGAAGGAGCCACAUAAUUGCUGGGGAUGUAACCACUUUCUCCAGUGGUCAGAGAGCGAGCCAGCCACCAGUCCCCUUCUCUGCGGAGACAAGAACGGAACGGUUUCACAGAUGGUCUCCUUUGCAAGUCUGUGAUUCCAGUUUACGUGGGGUGAUUUGGAUUCUACUUCAUAUGGUGGGAUACUUAAGACAGGACUCUUGAGUGAAGGAAACACUUUGCACACAGUACAUUCACAUUGGGAGGCAAAUAUUGAAUACAGUCUUCACAGAGGCUCUUCUUCACAUUCUAUUUCCAAUAUACAGGGACUACGGUGAAACAGUAACACGCGCUCAUACAGGGUCGACUCAACGGGAGGAAAUGAUUUACAAUAUCCGUAGACUACAGGGCGGUUUCGUGAAGACAGAUUAAAACUCCCGGACUAAGAGGAUGCGUCAAUUAAGAUUCUCCAUUAAACUCCAAUAGAUUCUCUAGGAUUAGGCUUAAUCUGUGUCCAGGAAAUCAACCCUACAACUACUAGGAACACUAAAGGAAUGGAUGCAGGGUGGAUUCAAACACAAACGUGUACUAUGACACCAUUAACCAAAUGCCGGGAAGUUAUCAUGUGAACCAGCAACUAUGAUGUGUUAAUGACGUGAACACACACACACAGCACAUUCAUUCACACGAAGGACACAAAAGACAAGAGAAGCUUCACUGACCUGCUGUUCAACUUUCUCCUACAUACAAUUACAAAAAGGUACAGAGAAAUAGUUUGGGGAGAUGGAGAGAGAGAAUAGAUGCGAAGGGGGUGGAUGGGGUUAAAAAAAGAGACAGAAAGCGUGUUAGCGAAGCAGAUUCGUAGGUAGAGAUACAGUAUACAGAACCAUUACAACAGGUAUCCGCCACCCCCUCAUCCCGACACUACAGCGGAACCUAGCUCCCUUUGCAAAGACCUACAGUACAGCCAUUAAACCAGAAGUCUGUCGAAAGAUCACACUGUACGUACAUGGAAACAAGGUUAUUGACUGAAUGCAUAGAAAGAAGAGACAUUCAGCAGCAUACCUAAAACAGAGGACAGAUAAUAUAAUUGGUGCAGACCUAAUAUUAACACCAAGAAAGCUUCAGAACAUUAUACCAAGUGCAUGGUGCAGAAAUAAAGCUGAGAACGGGUUGGCUCAUAACACAAGAAAUGGUGAAACAUUAUCUUGUGGUUAUCAUAUCACGGUGAGUUCACAGAGUUGACGUAUUUGACCUGGUAACCCUAAGGGAAUAGCUGUAGCAGCUUCGGGGGCAGAUGCACUAAUCACAAUAAUCCACUAUAGUUCGAUUGUCCUCAGCUCAGGCCUUCUAGGUCAACACUUUGUUAUAGCUAGAGUAUUGGGGGCUCGGCUCAGUUGAAUAAUAUGGUCCCACUGCACUUCUAUUGAUUAGAGAAAGACUCAAAUUUGUAAAAGCAGCACAGACUGACAUUAUUAGAAUGAAUGGUCAUUUCUGUCACUUUAACAUAUACGUUUACAUGACAGUUAUUUCGCAGACAAUUAUCGAGCAAGACUUCAACUAAGGUAGAGGCAGCAGGAAGGGGCUAGUAACAAACGGGAAGGGGUUGAAACGUAUCAGCCUCCAAGUGGACGCACCAGUGAGAUGAACAGCUGUACUUUUAUGAAUGAGCAGGAGAAAAUAGGAAAUCUACAACAAAAACGUGUCAGCUCACACAAAACAGAUACUGGUAAAGGGAGACUGUUUCUAUGGUUACGGGCUUUACAAAGGGCGGGUGACUGACACAGGGUUUGGGGGCAAAACAGCCAGCCAGCGCAGCAAGAGACCAGACAUGCAGACUACGGUGUGUGUGUGUGAGAGAGAGAGAGCGAGAAUGCGGGGGGGGGCAUGUGCGUCUAUCCCUGGGGAUAUGUCCCCAUCCUCAUCUAUGCUAAUAUGUUUAUUCUAUUCUACUGGGCCAUUUAAUUUAUGUUCGUAUUCUUAUAUUUUAUUUAUUCUUAUUGUGGCAUUGUUUAGAAGGAAGCUGCAAGUAAGUAUUUCGUUGGACAAUGUACAGUUGAAGUCAGAAGUUUACAUACACCUUAGCCAAAUACAUUUAAACUCAGUUUUUCACAAUUCCUGACAUUUAAUCCUAGUAAAAAUUACCUGUCUUAGGUUAGUUAGGAUCACCACUUUAUUUUAAGAAUGUGAAAUGUCAGAAUAAUAGUAGAGUGAAUGAUUUAUUUCGGCUUUAUUUUUUUAAUCAUCAGAUUCCCAGUGGGUCAGAAGUUUACAUGCUGCCAAAUAAUAAUGGAGUGUAUUGCCUUUAAAUUGGGUCAAACAUUUCAGAUAGCCAUCCACAAGCUUUCCACUAUAAGUAGGGUGAAUUUUGGCCCAUUCCUCCUGAUAGAGCUGUUGUAACUGAGUCAGGUUUGUAGGCCAGGGCUUUGUGAUGGCCACUCCAAUACCUUGACUUUGUUGUACUUAAGCCAUUUUGCCACAACUUUGGAAGUAUGCUGGGGUCAAUGUCCGUUUGGAAGACCCAUUUGCGAACAAGCUUCAACUUCCUGUCUGAUGUCUUGAGAUGUUGCUUCAAUAUAUCCACAUCAUUUUCCUCCUCAUGAUGCCAUCUAUUUUGUGAAGUGCACCAGUCCCUCCUGCAACAAAGCACCCACACAACAUGGAUGCUGCCACCCCCGUGCUUCAUGGUUGGGAUGGUGUUCUUCGGCUAGCAAGUCUCCCCCUUUCUCCGAUGGUCAUUAUGGCCAAACAGUUCUAUUUUUGUUUCAUCAGACCAGAGGACAUUUCCCCAAAAUGUAUGUGCAGAUGCAAACCGUAGUCUGGCUUUUUUUAUGGCAGUUUUAGAGCAAUGGCUUCUUCCUUGCUGAGCGGCCUUUCAGGUUAUGCCGAUAUAGGACUUGUUUGACUGUGGAUAUAGAUACUUUUGUACCCAUUUCAUCCAGCAUCUUCACAAGGUCCUUUGCUGUUGUUCUGGGAUCGAUUUGUACUUUUCGCACCAAAGUACGUUCAUCUCUAGGAGGCAGAACGCGUCUCCUUCCUGAGCGGUAUGACGGCUGCGUGGUCCCAUGGUGUUUAUACUUUUGUUUGUACAGAUGAAUGUGGUACCUUCAGGCGUUUGGAAACUGCUCCCAAGGAUGAACCAGACUUGUGGAGGCCUACAAUUUUUUGGCUGAUUUCUUUUGAUUUUCCGAUGAUGUCAAGCAAAGAGGCACUGAGUUUGAAGGCAGGUCUUGAAAUACAUCCACAUGUACACCUUCAAUUGACUCAAACGAUGUCAAUGAGCCUAUCAGAAGCUUAUAAAGCCAUGACAUAAUUUUCUGGAAUUUUCCAAGCUGUUUAAAGGCACCGUCAACUUAGUGUAUGUAAACGUCUGACCAACUGGAAUUGGGAUACAGUGAAUUAUAAGUGAAAUAAUCUUGUCUGUAAACAAUUGUUGGAAAAAUGACUUGUGUCAUGCACAAAGAAGUCCUAACCGACUUGCCAAAACUAUAGUUUGUUAACAAGAAAUUUGUGGAGUGGUUGAAAAACGAGUUUUAAUGACUUCAACCUAAGUGUAUGUAAACUUCCGACUUCAACUGUAUAUCAUGUGUUUCCCGUACAUACGACUAAUAAAACGUGAAACUUGAAAAACUCAUCCCAGUGUGUGUGGAGUUGCCUCACAUGUUGUUCACUAUUUGUAGCCGUUCCCCCUUCCUGAAAGACAGAUCGGAGGCAGUGCGAGACUCGUAGUCAUACAGCGCCAUGAACGUCGUCACACCUCCUGUGGGGGAGAGGGCAGACAGACACUCAUACCUCAGAGGAUGGGUCAUCAAAUAUUAAGUGAUAUUGCAAUACCAUUUUAAAAAAUACAGUACUAUUCAUAUAUGCAGAGUAAACUGUGUAGCUUUUCCAUAAAGAGUAUCAAACAUACAUUGUACUGAAUAAGAUUUGCACGUACUACAGUAGUCAGUAGUAUCAAAUAAGUAGCAUUCAAUGCACCUCUGCCUGUUUUAGAUAAUCUUACCUUUAGUGAAAUUAAUCACUAUAGUGAUUUAAUAAUUUAUUUAUAUUCCAUUCUAGGUAUUAGUGGGGUAUCUGGGCCCUACAGUCUUACCUGCAAGUGUCCCUCUGUUAGGAGACGUGACACUAUUGGCUGACUCCACUCCCCCAAACAGUGCCAGCUCCGGGGUAUUGAUCAACGGCUGAGUGGACCGGCGUGUUCCGCCCACUGCUGGACUCAGAUUGGGCGUGAGGGUGUGCUGGGCAGGGCUGAUGUUGUAGCUGCCACCCCCUCCUCCUAAACUGAUGUUACCAUCAAGACUCCGUGUCCGAAGGCCUGCGUCUUUGGGCUUGCUCUUGGUUCCCCCCAUGGCCUAAGCCUGUAAGACAGACAGAGAGACUUAUGAGCUUUUGCACUUUAAGCAAAGACAAUAAAAUGCUGGGAGUUUGAGCUUUUUAAUUAAUCCAAUAAGAUAUUGCACAGUUCAGACUUCUCCUUUCUACAUGAUGGUAUAGGCUUAGAAUAGCUAGAAUAAUCUUCAGCCAAACACCAUUCGAUACCUAGAUACUGUAAUUUAUUUUGUUUGGCCAAUAGGCUGUUGGUCGACCAAGAUUUUUUUAGUCGAGCAGUAGCAAAUAUAUAUAGCACAUGAGACAUUUCAUAUUUCACGCCUGUCUGCGUGGAUUGAUCCAUUGGAGGCCGCAGGGUUGGCACACCAGUAGUACAUUUACCAUUAACUUCUUGGUGACAGGGGGGCAGUAUUGAGUAGCUUGGAUGAAUAGGGUGCCCAGAGUAAACUGCCUGCUACUCUGUCCCAGAUGCUAAUAUAUGCAUAUUAUGAGUAGAUUUUGGAUAGAAAACACUCUGAAGUUUCUAAAACGGUUUGAAUGAUGUCUGUGAGUAUAACAUAAGUCAUAUGGCAGGUGAAAACCUGAGGAAAAUCCAACCAGGAAGUGGGACAUCUGAGGUUUGUAGUUGUUCAACUCUUUGCCAUUCCAAUAUACAGUGUAAAUGGGGUUAUAUUGCACUUCCUAAGGCUUCCCCUAGAUGUCAACAGUCUUUAGAACAUUGUUUCAGGCUUCUACUGUGAAGUGGGGGCGAAUGAGAGCUGAUUGAGCCAGGUGUCUGGCAGAGUGCCACAGGCUCUGAGGCGCGGUCACGAGAGAGUUAGCUCUCGUUCCAUUGCUUUUCUACAGACAUAGGAAUUCUCCGGUUGGAACAUUAUUGAACAUUUAUGAUAAAAACAUCCUAAAGAUUGAUUCUAUACUUAGUUUGACAUGUUUCUAUGGGCUGUAAUAUAACGUAUUGAACUUUUCGUCCGACGUUAAGGCUGGACCUGAACGCGCGUUUGGAUUUGUUUAACAAACGCGCUAACAAAAGAAGCUAUUUGGACAUACAUGAUGGACAUUAUCGAACAAAUCAAACAUUCAUCGUGGAACUGGGAUUCCUGGGAGUGCAUUCGGAUGAAGAUCAUCAAAGUGAAUAUUUAUAAUGCUAUUUCUGAAUAAUGUUGACUACACAAUAUGGCGGAUAUCUUUUUGGCUGCUUUGUUGUCUGAACGCUGUACUCAGAUUAUUGCAUGGUUUGAUUUUUCCGUAAAGUAAAAAAUAAAAUCUGACACAGCGGUUGCAUUAAGGAGAA
Oncorhynchus nerka (sockeye salmon) is the source of this 6676-nucleotide long non-coding RNA. RefSeq lists it as uncharacterized. The record is from RefSeq and is a predicted model, not a curated record. NCBI's taxonomy places the organism in Eukaryota, Metazoa, Chordata, Actinopteri, Salmoniformes, Salmonidae. The transcript is spliced from 2 exons.